GUUCCUGGAUCCGGAGCCUCAUUGCUCUUACCUUUCGUGAGCCUCAACCUCUUUGCCGUCAAAUUGUUGUUGUUUGACGUUCCUGGAUCCUUCUUACGUUCCUGCUUCCUUCCUAUGUUCCUGGAUCCUGAGCCUCAUUGCUCUUACCUUUCGUGAGCCUCAACCUCUUUGCCGUCAAAUUGUUGUUGUUUGGCGUUCCUGGAUCCUUCUUACGUUCCUGCUUCCUUCCUAUGUUCCUGGAUCCUGAGCCUCAUUGCUCUUACCUUUCGUGAGCCUCAACCUCUUCGCCUCAUUGUUUGACGUUCCUGGAUCCGUCAUACGUUCCUGCUUCCUUCCUACGUUCCUGGAUCCGGAGCCUCAUUGCUCUUACCUUUCGUGAGCCCUCAACCUCUUUGCCGUCAAAUUGUUGUUGUUUGACGUUCCUGGAUCCUUCUUACGUUCCUGCUUCCUUCCUAUGUUCCUGGAUCCUGAGGUAAGUGAUCAUAUCGUCACUGUAAAGCUCUCUUUGAUAGCAGGAACAUGCUCAAUGCUGCUGUAAAACUGUUGUCUUUCUUGG
This is a long non-coding RNA of Perca flavescens (yellow perch), 556 nucleotides long. RefSeq lists it as uncharacterized. The record is from RefSeq and is a predicted model, not a curated record. Lineage: Eukaryota; Metazoa; Chordata; Actinopteri; Perciformes; Percidae. The transcript has 5 exons.